This 439-nucleotide ribosomal RNA is filed under the name uncultured bacterium. RNAcentral describes it as "partial 16S ribosomal RNA". It matches the Rfam family "Bacterial small subunit ribosomal RNA", at positions 339 to 795 of the family's 1533-position model. The record is from RNAcentral.
CUACGGGCGGCACCAGUGAGGAAUAUUGCACAAUGGGGGGAACCCUGAUGCGGCAACGCCGCGUGGAGGAUGACGCAUUUCGGUGUGUAAACUCCUUUUAUAUGUCAAGAAAAUGACGGUAGCAUAUGAAUAAGCACCGGCUAACUCCGUGCCAGCAGCCGCGGUAAUACGGAGGGUGCAAGCGUUACUCGGAAUCACUGGGCGUAAAGGACGCGUAGGCGGGCUUGUAAGUCAGGUGUGAAAUCCUACAGCUUAACUGUAGAACUGCACUUGAAACUACGAGCCUAGAGUAUGGGAGGGGGAGAUGGAAUUAGUGGUGUAGGGGUAAAAUCCGUAGAUAUCACUAGGAAUACCUAAAGCGAAGGCGAUCUCCUGGAACAUAACUGACGCUAAGGCGUGAAAGCGUGGGGAGCAAACAGGAUUAGAUACCCCAGUAGUC